GGCGAAAGUCGGACUAAUACCUUAUGAGGUUUUCUGCAGACAUCUAACGAAAACGAAAGAUUUAUCGGUCAGUGAUGGGGAUGCGUCUGAUUAGCUUGUUGGCGGGGUAACGGCCCACCAAGGCAACGAUCAGUAGGGGUUCUGAGAGGAAGGUCCCCCACAUUGGAACUGAGACACGGUCCAAACUCCUACGGGAGGCAGCAGUGAGGAAUAUUGGUCAAUGGGCGAGAGCCUGAACCAGCCAAGUAGCGUGCAGGAUGACGGCCCUAUGGGUUGUAAACUGCUUUUAUGUGGGGAUAAAGUGAGCUACGUGUAGUUUAUUGCAGGUACCACAUGAAUAAGGACCGGCUAAUUCC
This 356-nucleotide ribosomal RNA is filed under the name uncultured bacterium. RNAcentral describes it as "bacterial SSU rRNA". It matches the Rfam family "Bacterial small subunit ribosomal RNA", at positions 150 to 504 of the family's 1533-position model. The record is from RNAcentral.